Pimephales promelas (fathead minnow) is the source of this 907-nucleotide non-coding RNA. NCBI's taxonomy places the organism in Eukaryota, Metazoa, Chordata, Actinopteri, Cypriniformes, Leuciscidae. The record is from RefSeq and is a predicted model, not a curated record.
UCCCACAGUGUUGCAUUCAAAUGGGUGACAAAGGUCCACGAAUUUCUCGAUCAUUAUAUUGUAUCACAACAGGUCAUCUGGGUUGCCAGGAAAGACCGUUGAUGGUAUAAUGAACACUUCCGAUUUACUGCUGAGGAAGUGGCAGGUCUCAUUUACGUCAGUGACACCAAUGAUUUCUGCCUCAGUUUCCUCAACCUGGCCUCAGGUAUCUGUGGAAAGAAAUCAAUGUGGGAAAUGUCAGUGUAUUAGUACUAAAAACACCUCAAUUGUAAACUAUGGCAGCAGUUGUGCAUUAUGUACCUGCACAGACGUGUAGGCUGAGGAGUGGAAUUUCCCCUGGCCAUUCUUAAAAAUGCAGGGGCGAAGGUGUGUGAGCACCACCUCGUCACCCACGCAGAGGUCCGUCAGCGCCUCGUCUCUCCACAGCGACACGUCAAAGGACUUGCCUCCAGACUGGAGCCGCAUGUCCAGAAUGGGGACAUUUGUCCUGGUCAUCCUCACGCCACGCAACUGGAAAUAUUAAACUCAGGGUUCGGUGAUUAAUUUUAGUUGCAAUACACUUGCACCGCAGAAAUGGAGAUGGAGUCUGAGUCGGAGUUGCCAUGCUGAAGAGAAGGCAGAGAAAGGUUGAAUAGUGGCUACUGCAGUUGAAUUUUCCUAUAGGGCUUGGGCGUCGUGACGUCAUUACUGGCGUGGCGGCCAUGUUGGCCGCUCACACGCAUGUAAACAUACAGCAAAUCGAACGAGGAGAAGCAGCUGAGUCUCAGGUGCACACAUCACUCCACUUUUCCAUCAUUUAUUACGUGUGUGGACAGGAGAGACAGUAGCACUGGAAGAGACACCAGCUUACCUCUGUGUGUCCACAGAUGUGUGUGUGUGUGUGUGUGUGUGUGUUAGUGUUAAAACA